This 468-nucleotide ribosomal RNA is filed under the name uncultured Alphaproteobacteria bacterium. RNAcentral's name for it is "bacterial SSU rRNA". It matches the Rfam family "Bacterial small subunit ribosomal RNA", at positions 35 to 539 of the family's 1533-position model. Lineage: Bacteria; Pseudomonadati; Pseudomonadota; Alphaproteobacteria. The record is from RNAcentral.
GACGCUGGCGGCAGGCCUAACACAUGCAAGUCGAGCGCGCCUUCGGGUGAGCGGCGGACGGGUUAGUAACGCGUGGGAACGUGCCCUUCUCUACGGAAUAGCCUCUGGAAACGGAGAGUAAUACCGUAUACGCCCUUUGGGGGAAAGAUUUAUCGGAGAAGGAUCGGCCCGCGUUAGAUUAGGUAGUUGGUGGGGUAACUGGCCUACCAAGCCUACGAUCUAUAGCUGGUUUUAGAGGAUGAUCAGCAACACUGGGACUGAGACACGGCCCAGACUCCUACGGGAGGCAGCAGUGGGGAAUCUUAGACAAUGGGGGCAACCCUGAUCUAGCCAUGCCGCGUGAGUGAUGAAGGCCUUAGGGUCGUAAAGCUCUUUCGCCUGUGAUGAUAAUGACAGUAGCAGGUAAAGAAACCCCGGCUACUCCGUGCCAGCAGCCGCGGUAAUACGGAGGGGGUUAGCCGUUGAACC